GUAGUUUAAGAUAGACUCUUAGCCGACACGCAUGUUUCCUUUGUUAUCGAUACUGGUAUGGUUCAAUGCCAGAAGACCAUGCCAUGCGCUUUUGUGGAUAAGGUAUACAUUAAAUUAUAUUACAUUGAAGUUUUCAAUACAGUGAAAAUAUCCGUACUCAUAAAGAUAAAAACGAUAUAGCCGGUAAAUUUAGAAAUGAGUGAUACACAUUUUUGUAGAUCUGUAUUAAGCGCAAAUCACCAUAAAUUGAUAAGUUUUAUAUUUUAUUAAGCUUAUACAUAUUAAAGUCUGAUAAUAAAAUUUAUAGUUCUGAAUUAUAAACAUCCGGUUUAGAACAGUACAAUUCGGUGCAGAUGAUUUUGGCUAAUCUAUCUCUCGACACCGCAAUGCCCAUGAGAAAAACGUGGGAAUAUGUAGAAUCGAUGAUUCCGAUGCAUAAAAGGAAAUGGGUACAAAUUUGAGAUAGACAUUGACUCGCGUCAUCGAGACGAGAAAAAAGAAUGAUGGGAAGAACUCCGAAAAGACGAAAACAUGAAUUCGUGGGGCCUAGGGUACACGGUCAUUAUGAAAAAUAUAGGUGACACUACUGCUUCAAUUGAAUGCAGGUAAAAUGAAAAAAGUGCUAUUGCCUUAUUUUCUACACAUGGAAUGAAACAAGACCGACUGAACUCCACAACAAAAUACAGCUCUUUACCAUCAAAAAGCUGCAACUCUCGGCAAGGAAAUCAAAUAAGUCAGCUUGAUCAGACGUCAUACCAACAGAGGUACGGAGGCGCGAGAAACUGAAAUUGCGUGGAGGAAGUUAAGGGGGUAUAGAAGCAUGAAUUUCAGAUCAGAAUACUCCCUUAAGCCAGAUUAUGAUCAGAGCACAAAUGUGGCUUGACGCAAGGAGUAUUAAACUUUCCACUGACAAAACUGAGCUGGUAUUCCUAACAAAGAAAGAUAUUCCGACGAUAGUAUGUAGACUUCAAUACAACAACAGAGACCUACGAAAACAAAACAUUACCAAUUACCUGGGUGUAAUAUUAGACCCCAAGAUUAACUUCUGGGAACAAAUCCAAUACGCUGCGAAAAAAUCCAAGGCGCCCAAAUUAGCUUUCCAACUUAGCGGGCUGAUGCCCAACAUUGCAGAAACGGAAGCUUCUAUGGGCAGACUCAUUGAGGCAACACAACCGAUGAAAAGCCCUGUACAAGGUGUAUUUUCCAGCUGCUCUGAGAGUAGUAUAGGUAUACCGCACACUUUCAGGUAAAGCUGUAAAGGGAAUAAGCAAAAGCACUUCCAUCAACCUACUUUCAUUUGAAAAGACGAAAAACAAAUGGCACCACCACAAAUAAGGAAAUAAAGAAUGAUGGCUUGGAGCAAUGGCAAAUUCAUUAGGAGGACGUCAUGACUAAUCCCGCAAAAAACCUGGCGAGGUGGAUUGUUAUUAGCAGAUGCUAUCUACUCACGGAUAUUUUAGGAAGUAUCUAUAUAAAAUGGAAAAAAAACUGAAGAUCCGUCAUGUAUUUACAACGACACAACCGAGGACAACGCUGAACAGGCGUUUUUCAAAUGCAUACGCUAGCAAACAUAGCAAAAUGUUCGGGUCAGUAAACGCAGACGUCAUUGGACUGGCAUGCUUCAAAACUAGGAAAAAUGAAAGAAGUUAAAAAAUUACAUAGAAAACGUUCUACGGUUAAAAAAAAGAGGACCUGGAUGCAAGAAAUGACUUGUACGUCUUAUGACGAAAAAUAUGGAGCGCCACCUUGAAGCAAUAAGAAAGCCAACGUCAUAUGUACAUAUGUAUGUAUACCAUUGCUGUGACGAUGCAAAAGCCAAUUUAGAUCAGCGCUAGACGAUUUUAGGUAUCUCAGAGCGGUUGUGAGAUGCAGCCCAGAAUUCCACGCAAACUUCGCUUAACACUCGAACAUACAUACAUAUAUGAUUUUUAAUGUGGUCAUUUUACAAACCAAAAUUGGUUCUCUGGAGGCGAGAAGACGACGGGGACAGACUUAUAGACCGUGCCGCUCGUGGCACGUUUUGUGUUCUUGUUGGCAGACGUUUUUUUAACAGCAAAGAAUGCGAAGGAGAAAACAUAAUUGUCAAUAGUGCCAAAAAAAAUCCCAAAAAGGGUAAUAAAAAAACGAUUGAAAGACGCAUGUCAUUCGUGAUCGUAACAUCGUAAAGGAGGCUCGUACAACAAGA
Bactrocera neohumeralis is the source of this 2185-nucleotide long non-coding RNA. RefSeq lists it as uncharacterized. The record is from RefSeq and is a predicted model, not a curated record. The transcript is spliced from 4 exons. Lineage: Eukaryota; Metazoa; Arthropoda; Insecta; Diptera; Tephritidae.